GCACGGGUGAGUAACACGUGACUAACCUACCCUGGAGUGGGGGAUAACUGAGGGAAACCUUAGCUAAUACCGCAUAAUACCUACGGGUCAAAGGAGCAAUUCGCUUUGGGAGGGGGUCGCGGCGAUUAGUUAGUUGGCGGGGUAAUGGCCCACCAAGACAGUGAUCGGUAUCCGGCCUGAGAGGGCGCACGGACACACUGGAACUGAAACACGGUCCAGACUCCUACGGGAGGCAGCAGUGGGGAAUUUUGCGCAAUGGGGGAAACCCUGACGCAGCAACGCCGCGUGGAGGAUGAAGUCCUUCGGGACGUAAACUCCUUUCGAUCGGGACGAUAAUGACGGUACCGGAAGAAGAAGCCCCGGCUAACUUCGUGCCAGCAGCCGCGGUAAUACGAGGGGGGCAAGCGUUGUUCGGAAUUAUUGGGCGUAAAGGGAGUGUAGGCGGUUUGGUAAGUCGUGUGUGAAAUCUUCGGGCUCAACCCGAAGUCUGCACACGAAACUGCCGGGCUUGAGUAUGGGAGAGGUGAGUGGAAUUCCUGGUGUAGCGGUGAAAUGCGUAGAUAUCAGGAGGAACACCUGUG
RNAcentral lists this ribosomal RNA (581 nucleotides) under uncultured bacterium. Its description in RNAcentral is "bacterial SSU rRNA". It matches the Rfam family "Bacterial small subunit ribosomal RNA", at positions 100 to 714 of the family's 1533-position model. The record is from RNAcentral.